GAUGAAGAACGCAGCGAAAUGCGAUAAGUAAUGUGAAUUGCAGAAUUCAGUGAAUCAUCGAAUCUUUGAACGCACAUUGCGCCCCCUGGUAUUCCGGGGGGCAUGCCUGUUCGAGCGUCAUUUCACCACUCAAGCCUCGCUUGGUAUUGGGCAACGCGGUCCGCCGCGUGCCUCAAAUCGACCGGCUGGGUCUUCUGUCCCCUAAGCGUUGUGGAAACUAUUCGCUAAAGGGUGCUCGGGAGGCUACGCCGUAAAACAAACCCAUUUCUAAGGUUGACCUCGGAUCAGGUAGGGAUACCCGCUGAACUUAAGCAUAUCAAUAACGGAGGA
Molecule: unclassified non-coding RNA, 330 nt
Filed under: soil metagenome
Description: partial contains 5.8S ribosomal RNA, internal transcribed spacer 2, and large subunit ribosomal RNA
Rfam family: 5.8S ribosomal RNA (bases 1-120)
Source: RNAcentral